Molecule: long non-coding RNA, 2429 nt
Organism: Olea europaea var. sylvestris
Lineage: Eukaryota; Viridiplantae; Streptophyta; Magnoliopsida; Lamiales; Oleaceae
Exons: 4
Source: RefSeq, a predicted model, not a curated record
CCUGGUCCGCCACCGAAUGGGAGACAUCGUUCGUCCACGUUUCUGCAAAAUUUUCUGAUAUUCUGCCACAUAAUGAGAACAAUCUUCAUUUUUUUUUUUUUUAAUUCUUGAUAAGAAAAUAUUAGUAGGAGAAAAAACAUAGGCUUUCUGUCUGCCGUCAGCGGAGAGACGGUCGGAGAGUCUUAAGGUUUUUCUGGCCCCCAUGUCUCAAUCCUGCACACUUUAGAGGGAAAAAAUGUGAAGAAAAGAAAAGCACUGCAGAGAGAGGGUGAGAACGGCGCGGAAUAAGAAAGAGUUGUGGCGGACAAAAUGGGAGUGGUGACACCUCUUCAGAAUUGGAUUCCAGAAGAUGAUCUUUUGCUUAAAAACGCUGUCGAGGCUGGCGCUUCUUUGGAAUCUCUUGCAAAAGGGGGAACUGCAUGACCGUUGGUAUUCUCUACUCUAUGAUCCAGUUGUUUCUGCAGUGGCAUCUGCUCGCAUGAUUGAGCUGAAUGUUCUGCUUCAACUCUACAAUCAGGACCUAAUUGGCCAGACAGUACAAAAGAGACAAAGUGCAGUUUAGGGAAGCUUAAAGCUGAAAGUAUUCGUAAACGUAACUAUGCUCUGCGUAAAAGAAUUUUGGAUGAAUGACUUGAUGCAAUGGAUAUUUUAUCUCUUGCUGAACCUGGGAAUUCUAUUUUUAGUUAUGAGAAUGAACAUCCGUCUGCAGAUUGCAUUAUUGAAAAUCCAGUUUCAAAUCCUUUUGGAAUUAAUGGUGAUGCAGGACUUCAAGAUCGUGUUGAAGAUCUUCCCCUUUCUGGUAAUAAUGUGUCCUGGGGCUUUUGUCAUACUAUAUAGUGUGUGCGUGAGUGUGUGCCCAGGGGAUUUGGACAAUCUAAAGAAUUAUCCAUUUGUGACUUUUUUAAAACUGACUUUUUAGACAUAGAAAACCCUGCUGUAUUUGGUCAAACUAAUCAGAAUGGAGGAAAUGUGCAUACUGAAUUCAGAGGCACAUCAUUUCCCAGUUUUGGCUAUUUGCCUCCUCUGCCUCAAAUGCCAACUUGGAGUACCAUGCACCACAUUUCUGCCACUUCUCUGCCCGUUCAGCUUGGAGAGAGUGGCCAGCAGACAGGAAAAGCAUUUGUACCUACUGAGGCCGAUUAUGUGAAUAAUACAGAUGCAUCCAACUUAAAGAAUUCGAUUCCUAACAUGAGAAAUUUAAUUCUUAGCCCGGAGGACGUUAUGGAAUUGACAAGUACUUUGUUUGACUUUACAAAUGAGGAAGAUCAGCUGUUAUGGACGCUGAUGGAAAAGACCAAAUCGAGAAAUUUUAUAUUGAUGGUUUCAGUUCACUUUUAUUGGAUUCUCCUAACAAUAGCGAGUUGCCUAAUGUUGUCCCUCAGGCUCCCGAUGCACAUUUUACUUUUACUAGUGGUCCACAUAGUGAAGAGUCAGGGAAGGAGCUGUAUCAGAGUUCAAUUAUAGACGCAAAAACUCUCACCUGUUCGAACUGUGAAAGCUUUUGGUCCUGAAUACCGUAAUGGAGUCAUAUGCUGCACACUAAACACUGAGGACCCGGAAAUUCCUAGCAAUGAUGAUGUUUCUCUUCCCUUUUGUUUUCCCUCCCUGUCUAAUUCCUCAGGGCCUCAUUGGAGAGAUCACGAUGCUUAUUAUCUAAUACCCUUUCUAUGAAGAAUUUCUCUAGCACUCAAAAAGCAAGUGGGGGGCAGAUUCUGAGGAAGAGUGAACUAAAAGAUUCUUGUGCUCCUUCUCUGAUGAUAGGAUCGUAAAGACAAUCAGACAUGGGUGCCAAUAAUCGAAUUGGUGGUUUUGGGAUAAAAUUUGAGUUGCCUAACAGUAGUACCCAACACUUCGCACUCAAGAAUGCAAGAACUAUUGAAGGCCCAAGUCAUAUCAGUUCAGUGCAGACUUCACAAAAUAUCUUGUACCUGGAGCUGUUAAGGAAGGUGCUACAAAGAUUUUAGCGGGAAAGAAUCUUGAUUAUAAAUCGGCCGGUCAUUGUCUAGAUAAGCAUUUUUAUGGUCUAGACAGUGUUUGAAAAUUUAAGAAAAGUAUUAGUGGCAGUAAGAAGAAAUUAGAUACUAAAGCUACAGUUCCAACCAAUGGAGCAUUAAAUGCUGAAUCAAGUUUUGUAGUGCCUCCAGUCUCGCAACGAAAUGAAAAGUCACUACUGUCGGAUCAGGAAGAGCCUUGUUCUGAGAAUGAUUUGGAUGUUCCCUAUUUUUCUGAUGUAGAAGCAAUGAUCUUUGACAUGAAUUUGAGUCCAGAUGAAUUUGAUCUACAGUUGAGCCAGGAAGUUAAGCAAUACAAACGUGAUGAAACUAGGAAAUCAUUCAUAAGGCUGGAGCAGGCUGUUGAUGGUUAUAUGGUAAGAACCAUUGCAGCUCAGGGAGCAUUUGCACCUGAGGUAUGACAGCACCCCCACUCCC